UGGAGACGGCGGCGAAAUGGCCGCCCGGCCGCGCCCAGGACGCCGAGGGUGCCGGCAGGCAGGCAGGCCGGCCCGGCGGCCGGGGGCCGUGUGCUCGCGGUCUCCCCGCCCCAGCCGUCCCCCUCCUGCACACGCUGCCCGUCCAGACCGUGCCGUCUGCACGCACGCUCCGGGCCUUGCGCGCCGCCGUUUUGUCUCGGCUUCCAGAGGCGCUCAGCCCGCUGUUUUUCCAGAGAGCGCCCUGGGGGGACUGCAUUACCUCAGCCCCAGCGCUGUGCCAGGCUGCUUCCAAACGUCGCACUAAUUUAUUUUAAAGGUCAUUUUCCAACGUCGGUUAUUGCACAGGAAUACUGGAAUCCUUGACUGGGUGGAACACCGGGAGUUCGUGCACAUAAACAGGUCAAUCGUCUCCCUGCAGCACUUAGCCAGUUCCAUGCUUCCCGUGAGAGCUGUCUGGUGUUCAGCAAGUAUUAACACUUCUGUGCUACGCCAGCAAUCUCCUCUUGCUGAAGGAUCGUGCUGAAGGAUCUGUAUGUUAUCUUCAUGCAUAGUGUUCAGAGCAUAUUGUGCUGUCAUUAUGGACGACUUACUUGCAUUGUACUAAUAGCUUAGCACUUACACAUCUGAUGUUGUCAGUAUAUACCCACAGACACCGUGAAAUCCAAGCUUUCAGCAAACUUGGAGAUGCAUACAUGUGUCUUUGCCUUCCAGUUCAGCUUUUCUGAGUGCAGAGAUUUUUCAACAUAUGAGUCGGCUGCAAUAAAGUUUAACUAACAAGUGGAGGUCUCAGAAAUGUAUCGAAGUUCAAAUCUUCUGACAUACUGCAGGGAGCUGGAUGGGGCAAAGCGGCUAUGGUGCUGAUUUCUGAUGUCCUGCCAAGAACGUAGGAAGGAAAGAAGGACAGAAGAUUUAGAUAGUUAAUGUUUGGAUUUGUGUGUAGUUAGUUAUACUAACAACAUGUAGCAAGAUUUGUUCAAUGAUGUGCAGUUUACAUCUUUUGGAAGAUGGGAACAAAGUAAGAUGCAUAACAUGUUAAAGACCUGGUCACUGAUGAUAAGAAACAAAUGAUUAACUGGAGGUAAUUCUCAGACAAAAAGUAUCACAGAUUAAUUAAUUUCGUAGAGGAAAAUUUCCACUGAUCUUCAGUAUGUGCAAAAUGACUCACCUAACCAAUUCCUUUUUUACAAGAAUAUGAAAAUAUCACCACUAUUUUGCCUAUUCGAAAAGUAUUUAUUUUUCGUUAAAUUCAUAACCUGUCUCUGUUAGGCUAGGGAAUUAGUGAACUCACUGUUGAUGCAAAUGACCUGUGAACCCUUUCCUCUUAGGUUGUUGCUUGUGAGAAUUUCAUCCACUUUUUUUUCCAAGCUAAAAAUACUUUUUUAACUACCUGUAGGCAAGAGGCGUUUAGUGUUAGUUUUUGGCAAGCUGUCUCAAGUUGCUUUUUGUAUCAUAUAAAGGACUAAAGCACCCUCCUAAAACUUUGGACACACAAUUGAAGGUAAAUUUAACAGUAGCAAGUAAAGUUGUUACUGCCUCAAGCAAUCUGCGGCAGCUGUCUCUCCAAGAGUAAUCAUAGUAUGCCAAAUAAGUUUUAAGUGGGAUUUAAAAUAUAAAUGCUCUGUAGCAUGUUAAAAGGUAAAACACAUUAAUGUGUUUGAAACAAAUCAUUAAAGAUAUAUUUUCACUGGACAGGUUGAACUUUGGAAAGGUUAAAAGCUAGUAUAUUAAAUAAAUGGAUAGGGAAAAGGCGUGCAGCAGGCUAUCAACAUGUAAACUGAUGGCAGUUACACAUUAAACAAUUAUUCACCUGCCCAGGUAUCGUAGUUAACAGAAACUUCUCGUUAACAGAAACUUCUUCUUAACAUUCAAGUAUAUCAUCUUAAUAUUGUUCUUUGUUGGCUAGAUAAUUUUGUUUUGAAUAGCACACCAUAUCCUGUUGGAUUCCUGUUUCAUAAAGCCGAUGGUUGCCCAUCUGGAAACAAUAGAGAUUCAUAAAGUGAAGAGAUCUUUGGAAACUGCCUGGAGGAGUCGAAUGAGUCACACUGACAACAUAAAUUGUUGCCACUAGCACUGUGUUUUACAAAACUUUUCAUUUCAUUUGUCAUGAGUGGAAAAGUGACAAUAGUAGAGACAGUGGAAAAGGUGUAAGUAAUGACUGGGAAAGCUCUUCCCCCUUCCCUUCCCAUCCUCCUCUCCUCUCCUCUCCUCUCCUCUCCUCUCCUCUCCUCUCCUCUCCUCUCCUCUCCUCUCCUCUCCUCUCCUCUCCUCCCCUUCCUUUUCCCAAGGAAACUUUAAACAUCUCACUGUGAUUAAGAAUUCCUCUAUUUAAUCAUUUUAGCAUCAUCCCAACCUGGAUAAAAGUACAUGCACAUACAAAGAUGUGCACAGAGGUUAGUUUUUAUUGACAACAAAGGGAAUGGCAGCCCUUCCCUGCUUUCAGAAGUAGUCGCAGUGACUACAUUAAACAGAAAUUAAAAAGAAAUUGAAAAGAUCUGUGCAUGUUUUACCUACAAGAUAGCAGCACUGGAACAAAUUGA
Molecule: long non-coding RNA, 2537 nt
Organism: Phasianus colchicus (ring-necked pheasant)
Lineage: Eukaryota; Metazoa; Chordata; Aves; Galliformes; Phasianidae
Source: RefSeq, a predicted model, not a curated record